Small nuclear RNA from Jaculus jaculus (lesser Egyptian jerboa), 104 nucleotides. NCBI's taxonomy places the organism in Eukaryota, Metazoa, Chordata, Mammalia, Rodentia, Dipodidae. The record is from Ensembl.
GUGUUCACUUCAACAGCACAUAUACUAAAAUUUGAAUGAUAUAGAGAUUAGCAUGGCCUGUGUGCAAGAGUGACAUGCAAGUUUGUGAAACAUUCUAUAUUUUU